Molecule: long non-coding RNA, 390 nt
Organism: Sinocyclocheilus grahami
Lineage: Eukaryota; Metazoa; Chordata; Actinopteri; Cypriniformes; Cyprinidae
Exons: 3
Source: RefSeq, a predicted model, not a curated record
ACGCGAGCACAAUAUAAUAAUGUGUGAGUCUCUGUGUGAUCACUGAAGGCUGUUGUGGAUGUCUCAUGUAUCUCAUUUUUAUUGUUUAAAUGAGAAGUAUUGGAAGUAAACACAUGAACAGAUGAAGACACAAAGCAGUGAAACAUGAAGCUCAUCAGAUGGAGCAGCUCCAAAGAUAGACGACUGAAUUGUAAAGGAAAACAAACGCUGAUGUUAGUCAGAAGGAACAGCAUAGAUGGCAAAAGACCAAACUUUUCUCAAGAUGCAGACGGCUUCAUUCUGAUGCUUCAGAAAGAGUCACAGACUCUCACACAUCAGACCCAGCAGCUGAUUUCUGAUCCUGGAGACUGAGCUUCCUAUAGAGUCCAGCUUUCUGGAGAUCAAGCCGGU